RNAcentral lists this ribosomal RNA (428 nucleotides) under uncultured Burkholderiaceae bacterium. Its description in RNAcentral is "bacterial SSU rRNA". It matches the Rfam family "Bacterial small subunit ribosomal RNA", at positions 355 to 774 of the family's 1533-position model. The record is from RNAcentral. Lineage: Bacteria; Pseudomonadati; Pseudomonadota; Betaproteobacteria; Burkholderiales; Burkholderiaceae. RNAcentral also lists the same sequence under 1 other name.
UGGGGAAUUUUGGACAAUGGGGGCAACCCUGAUCCAGCAAUGCCGCGUGUGUGAAGAAGGCCUUCGGGUUGUAAAGCACUUUUGUCCGGAAAGAAAACCUCUUGGUUAAUACCUGAGGGGGAUGACGGUACCGGAAGAAUAAGCACCGGCUAACUACGUGCCAGCAGCCGCGGUAAUACGUAGGGUGCGAGCGUUAAUCGGAAUUACUGGGCGUAAAGCGUGCGCAGGCGGUCUGUUAAGACCGAUGUGAAAUCCCCGGGCUUAACCUGGGAACUGCAUUGGUGACUGGCAGGCUUUGAGUGUGGCAGAGGGAGGUAGAAUUCCACGUGUAGCAGUGAAAUGCGUAGAGAUGUGGAGGAAUACCGAUGGCGAAGGCAGCCUCCUGGGCCAACACUGACGCUCAUGCACGAAAGCGUGGGGAGCAAACA